GACGAACGCUGGCGGCGUGCUUAACACAUGCAAGUCGAACGGAAAGGCCCUGCUUUUGUGGGGUGCUCGAGUGGCGAACGGGUGAGUAACACGUGAGUAACCUGCCCUUGACUUUGGGAUAACUUCAGGAAACUGGGGCUAAUACCGGAUCGGAGCUCCUGCUGCAUGGUGGGGGCUGGAAAGCUUCGGCGGUUGGGGAUGGACUCGCGGCGUAUCAGCUUGUUGGUGGGGUAGUGGCAUACCAAGGCUUUGACGGGUAGCCGGUCUGAGAGGGUGGCCGGCCACAUUGGGACUGAGAGACGGCCCAGAGUCGUACGGGAGGCAGCAGUGGGGAAUAUUGCACAAUGGGCGGAAGCCUGAUGCAGCAACGCCGCGUGCGGGAUGACGGCCUUCGUGUUGUAAACCGCUUUCGCCUGUGACGAAGCGUGAGUGACGGUAAUGGGUAAAGAAGCACCGGCUAACUACGUG
This 468-nucleotide ribosomal RNA is filed under the name uncultured bacterium. Its description in RNAcentral is "partial 16S ribosomal RNA". It matches the Rfam family "Bacterial small subunit ribosomal RNA", at positions 28 to 507 of the family's 1533-position model. The record is from RNAcentral.